GGCUCCAUAGUUUAAUGGAUAGAACGGGGGUUUCCGGUACCCUUGGUGUGGGUUCGAUUCCCUCUGGAGCUA
RNAcentral lists this transfer RNA (72 nucleotides) under Lacihabitans sp. LS3-19. RNAcentral describes it as "tRNA-Arg". It matches the Rfam family "tRNA". Rfam says of the family: Transfer RNA (tRNA) molecules are approximately 80 nucleotides in length. Their secondary structure includes four short double-helical elements and three loops (D, anti-codon, and T loops). The record is from RNAcentral. Lineage: Bacteria; Pseudomonadati; Bacteroidota; Cytophagia; Cytophagales; Leadbetterellaceae.